Molecule: ribosomal RNA, 634 nt
Filed under: uncultured bacterium
Lineage: Bacteria
Description: bacterial SSU rRNA
Rfam family: Bacterial small subunit ribosomal RNA (bases 1-545)
Source: RNAcentral
CCUACGGGAGGUAGCAGUGGGGAAUUGUUCGCAAUGGGCGCAAGCCUGACGACGCAACGCCGCGUGGAGGAUGAAGACCUUCGGGUCGUAAACUCCUUUCGAUCGAGACGAAUGUUUUCCGGGUGAACAAUCCGGAAAAGUGACGGUACCGAGAGAAGAAGCCCCGGCUAACUCUGUGCCAGCAGCCGCGGUAAUACAGGGGGGGCAAGCGUUGUUCGGAAUUACUGGGCGUAAAGGGCUUGUAGGUGGCCAACUAAGUCAGACGUGAAAUCCCUCAGCUUAACUGGGGAACUGCGUCUGAUACUGGAUGGCUUGAGUUUGGGAGAGGGAUGCGGAAUUCCAGGUGUAGCGGUGAAAUGCGUAGAUAUCUGGAGGAACACCGGUGGCGAAGGCGGCAUCCUGGACCAACACUGACACUGAGGAGCGAAAGCCAGGGGAGCAAACGGGGAUUAGAUACCCCGGUAGUCCUGGCCCUAAACGAUGAAUAGCUGUGUGGCGGUAGUCGAUCCUCGUCGUCGCGACGACUACGACAUAAGACAUCCGUCCGUCGGGAGGUACGGUCGCGAGACGUGAACGUACGAAAGAAGUUAGACGGCGUGAGACGUGCCGACGGACGACGACGAGGGAGGUUAGG